Molecule: ribosomal RNA, 885 nt
Filed under: uncultured bacterium
Lineage: Bacteria
Description: bacterial SSU rRNA
Rfam family: Bacterial small subunit ribosomal RNA
Source: RNAcentral
UGGCGGCAGGCCUAACACAUGCAAGUCGAGCGGAUGAAGGGAGCUUGCUCCUGGAUUCAGCGGCGGACGGGUGAGUAAUGCCUAGGAAUCUGCCUGGUAGUGGGGGAUAACGUCCGGAAACGGGCGCUAAUACCGCAUACGUCCUGAGGGAGAAAGUGGGGGAUCUUCGGACCUCACGCUAUCAGAUGAGCCUAGGUCGGAUUAGCUAGUUGGUGGGGUAAAGGCCUACCAAGGCGACGAUCCGUAACUGGUCUGAGAGGAUGAUCAGUCACACUGGAACUGAGACACGGUCCAGACUCCUACGGGAGGCAGCAGUGGGGAAUAUUGGACAAUGGGCGAAAGCCUGAUCCAGCCAUGCCGCGUGUGUGAAGAAGGUCUUCGGAUUGUAAAGCACUUUAAGUUGGGAGGAAGGGCAGUAAGUUAAUACCUUGCUGUUUUGACGUUACCAACAGAAUAAGCACCGGCUAACUUCGUGCCAGCAGCCGCGGUAAUACGAAGGGUGCAAGCGUUAAUCGGAAUUACUGGGCGUAAAGCGCGCGUAGGUGGUUCAGCAAGUUGGAUGUGAAAUCCCCGGGCUCAACCUGGGAACUGCAUCCAAAACUACUGAGCUAGAGUACGGUAGAGGGUGGUGGAAUUUCCUGUGUAGCGGUGAAAUGCGUAGAUAUAGGAAGGAACACCAGUGGCGAAGGCGACCACCUGGACUGAUACUGACACUGAGGUGCGAAAGCGUGGGGAGCAAACAGGAUUAGAUACCCUGGUAGUCCACGCCGUAAACGAUGUCGACUAGCCGUUGGGAUCCUUGAGAUCUUAGUGGCGCAGCUAACGCGAUAAGUCGACCGCCUGGGGAGUACGGCCGCAAGGUUAAAACUCAAAGGAAUUGACGGU